AGGUGUGUCAUAGGCUAUACCAUUCAGGUUUGUGUAAAUCCACUCUAUGAUUUUUGCAUUAUGAUGAAAUUGCCUAACAACGCAUUUCUCAGAACAUAUCCCCAUCGUUAAGCAACACGUGACUGUACAUCUGUGAUCUUUCUCAGUGAAAUUUCAGAUCUCCCAACAGGCUUCAUAGCCCUGAUCUCUUCCUUCAAGUUGCUCCUGAUUCAAGCUGAUAAUUUUGCUCUCUUUAAUCCAGUGAAACUAAAUAAGUUCUUGACACUUCAAAAAGAAUUACGAGAAGAAAAAUUCUCUCUCCAGACAAGUACAGAAACAAGAACAAGGAAAACACUGGAACUCUCAGGUGAGCAUGGAUGAAAGAAGGUAGAACCUAAACCAGGCCUGGAUCUGCAGAAGUAUUAAAGAUGGGCCCCAAAGGCUUGUGAAUUCAGCAUUAUGAUUUCAAGCUGACCUACAGAACUUUGUGUAUCACCUAAAACAUUGGCAAGGGUGGUUGAGAAGAAAGCUCUCCAAUACUUGAAAUUAUUCUCAAGUCACUUGCAAAUAAUUUGCUUACUGGGAGGAAGGAAACAGCGGAACACUUCUGAGAGGUCUGGUGUGUUCCAAUCACCUCAGAGAGAGAAACCACAGGGCCAAAAAUAAAUGAAUAAAUAAAAAUGCCCAGGAGUUAGAGCAAGUACACAUCUUUUUUGUUAAAUUUUCUUUCAUGAUGACGCAAAACAAGGACUAAAAAUGUUUGCAAGAAACCACAAGGUGAUCUGAUCAGAGCUUAGCUAAAAUUACAAAUCUGACAAUGAAUAAAAUUCCCUGCUUAAUAAAUAAUUCUAGAAAUAAGCUGAUAAUAAUCGCCAAAGCUCGGUAGCCAUUGAAAAUGGGCAACAGUAAUAACUCAUACACCUCGAUCUAUCUUUAAGUUCCAUUAUUCAAGAAAGAAACUAGUAUUCCCACUUUAUUUUUUUUCUGAAUAAAUCUAGAAAACACUUUAUAGAUAAGAAUACGUCCACUCUUGCAAAAGAUGCCAGUGGCAAGCUUCAGUGUGGAACAGACAAGUAUCCAUAGUGUCAGAAGACAGAGUUGCCACUGAUUUAUUAGCAAAUUGAACCUUUGCUUUAAGAGAAAAGAAUUUCUCAAAAUCUGUAUCUGAUAAAUUAACCCAGUCCUUCACGAACACCAUUUCAAAAAGACACUGCCAACCUUAAGUUUGAAUGAUUCAUUGUACUGUAAAUAUUUGAGGUGAUUAUGUCUGGCAGCAAGUGUCUGAAACAAGAACCCUCUUGCAACACAACCUAAAAAUCAACGGACAAUGUAUGAGACAGUUAGGGUGCAGUAAUGAAGCUGACCUCAGACUAUUUCCAUCAAUACAAACACUGACAGCAAGUUUGUUUACCAAGUUUUCAGGGCCAACAACUUACAAUUCAAACCUGGGAUCAAUUUAUGGACUCUGCUGUUGUUAAUGACCACGCAGGGAGAGUAAUACCAGAAAACUGACAGCAUCCUCAGGAUGAACAGAUCAUCUCCCAGAAUGUGAAAAUGAGAUAAGUCAAUUCCACCGCCUUGUCUGCACCUUGAGAAUUAAACAGCAACUACCAACUGAUAUCAGAAAUUACUCUCAUUGGAGGUUGAACACCUGAUUCUCCUUUGCCACAUCAAGCAGAGACUGACAGAUAAAAGAAUGACAGGAAAAUUCAUUCCGUCCACAUUUCCUGCACUAUGGAAAACCGCACGGAUACAGAGCAAACCAUCAAAGAAGUGAAACUAAGAAAACAAAGGUUUCUGCUGGUUUAAUAGCCAAAUCACUCAAGACACUUGAAGCAAAACAAGGAACAAUCUACUUAAAACUGUAAGAUCCAGGAACGCUAAAUAGUUUUAGACUUCAGCAAGUAUCAUCCUUAGAGAUGGUACAUGUGACAAGAAUAAGCUUAAUUUGCAUUUGAAAAUAGAGUAAAACAAACCAAGUCUCCCUUUAAAGGGAAAUGGUAGCAAAAUAGAGAAGAAAAAGAAAAGGACUUUACAUGUAUUCCCAAGGAAAAUCACAGACUCUUUAAAAGCUCUCACAAUAGGCUGGCCCUUUUAAAAACUCUGUCAUAUCUUAAAACAAAAGUCUUAUUAUCAUCUCCUAAUUUAUGCAAUGUAUUAACUUUUGCUUCUUUAAUCUAUUUUAAAGUUGUCUUCCUGCAUGAUUCCUCUAUAACAUUUUAACAGUAUACCUGCAUCGUGUCAAAAUUUAUCUGUACCUAGUAUUAGUUUAGAUAAAUAAACAUGUAGAUAGCUACAGGCAACUGAAGCUAUGUUGAAAGGGAUCCAAUGCUAUCCAUGCCCAGGGAGCAUACAGCUCUAUUUCAGAAAUGUACAAAAGGAGAAUAUUCAAUGCGAAAGGAAAUAUAUAAAACAGAAUAAGUGAAAAGGUAACCAGCAGUUACAUUCUCUGAAGUACAGUAAGAUAUGCUUCUAUAGUUUGGACCAUACAAGGUGAGAGCAUGUUAAUGACUAAUUAGGCUCCUGUAUUAGCUAAUAGACAAGAAGAAUAAAGCUUCAAGACCAUAUCACGAAAAUCACUCUGUCAUACUGACAUUCAUUCCAAGUGUCGCUACAGCAUCGAUUUUCUUAGAAGCUUUAUGAUUCAGCUGCCUUUGAACCACAGAGUGAUGCCCACCUGCAUCAGCGGCUAAGUACAGCUGUAGAACAGACAGACGUGGCCGACUUUAAAAAUUACCUUUUUCCCCCAUGACUUGCUUAGAAAAUAUGCACAGUGCAAAAAGUUUAUAAAAAUUGGGUUGGAAUUUUAGAGUCUCUAACAGAGUUUCUUAGGAAUUUUUGAAAUAUAGAUUUUAUUAAAAUCCCCUGUUUUCUUUAAAAAGCAAUAUUAACCCAAACAGCUGAUCCUUAUUCUGGUUCUUUUGCACCUGAAUUUUUAAGUUAAUCACCCUUAAUUACCUUUCAUAGCAAGAGCCAAUAGCAAAGGACUGAAAGAAACAGGUUGGAAGCUCAGUAGAUCCCAAGGUUUCCCUAAGAGCUCCUGGAAAAAAAAAAUUGCAACUAAUCUUCAUCUGUGUAGAGAAACACAAAUCCCAGGGUCACUGCCACUAAAUCGGCAGACCAAUGUGAUGAGCACUGCCGUCAAUAUGGCUAUUCUACCUUGACUUUUGAAUGUCAAAAAUAAUAUGGACAGAAUUGACUAAGCAGUCUCCGAGGUACUGCCUUUAAAAUUUUUAACUUUAUGGCCAUUAAAUAUUGAACAGAUAAUUGGAUUUAUCCCCUUCAGUGCUUUAUGGAUGUACAAAGUACCUACCUUCUCCUGUUUUAUUCAAAUUAAUGGUGCUCUUUUAAAGUGUCUGCCCUGAGUGCACACUAUAGCCGACUCAUUAAAAGGAUGCUUCAUCCUCUGCUUACCAACUCUUUUCUCCAUUUGCAGUGAGAGGGCAAAAACCACACUCAAACCCACAUUGACAGUCAAGGGCAAAUCCAUUGAGAGUCACCCUUAAACCUAGACUUUUCCCUCCCAAAACUCAAGUACACAGUGUGAUUUGGCAGUCGAUUGGCUGUUAUCACAGAAAACCACAACACAGAAUCCAUUUAUUCUGUUUUUUAAUUAAAACAUUUACAAAUGCUUCUUUGCAACUGGGUAGCUUACUGCUACAUUUUAAAAUCAAGUCUGAAGAACAUAGGGAUGCCAGUACCUCUCUAGAGGAUUAGCCAAAUGAAACCCUGGAUUGUGUAUUGGACAGGGAAAAAAUAUAUACUCAUGGAAAGGCUGUGCAAUUCACACUUGUGAUAAGGAAUUUCUAUCAAGUAUGACUAACACCUAAAAACGUACAGUCUGAAAAUAACUCUGGUGGAGGUGUUAGUGGAAAGGGGUUAAUGGAAAUAAUGUUUUCAUUUUAAACAAUAUAAAUCCACAACUGGCAUUCCAUUGGCCCGUGACCUCCCCUUACCCAAUCCUUGUUCAAGUCAUUUGCUAGUAUAAUUGAAACCUUCUUUGAGAGUCUUUAGAUUCCAUUUCAUGUUUUGGAGACAAUGCAGCUAAAAGACAUUUACCAUCCAUCUUUCUUAACGUUCCUAAUCUAAAUAGAAGACUCAAAUCUAAGACUGUGCUUUUGAUGGAUCACUCGCCUCCCUAUACAGUAGAGCUUAAAGAGAUCCUAUUAUUGCUUUCAGAACCCUUACAGAAAACAUACAUUCAUACUCAUUUUAGUUUUUACCACCUAGCCACCUAG
Molecule: non-coding RNA, 4217 nt
Organism: Macaca mulatta (Rhesus monkey)
Lineage: Eukaryota; Metazoa; Chordata; Mammalia; Primates; Cercopithecidae
Source: RefSeq, a predicted model, not a curated record